RNAcentral lists this non-coding RNA (148 nucleotides) under Chlorocebus sabaeus (green monkey). The record is from Rfam by way of RNAcentral. Lineage: Eukaryota; Metazoa; Chordata; Mammalia; Primates; Cercopithecidae.
GCCGGGUGUGGUGGUGCACACCUGUAAUCCCAGCUACUCAGGAGGCUGAGGCAGGAGAAUCGCUUGAACCCGGGAGUCGGAAGUUGCAGUGAGCCGAGAUCAUAUCACUGCACUCCAGCCUGAGUGACAGAGCAAGACUCUGCCUCAA